Molecule: long non-coding RNA, 1010 nt
Filed under: Gallus gallus (chicken)
Lineage: Eukaryota; Metazoa; Chordata; Aves; Galliformes; Phasianidae
Description: lncRNA (ENSGALG00010022963.1)
Source: RNAcentral
GCCUUAAUGAGCAGCUCUGAGGUGGCACCUGUGGGCCCUAUCAACUGGGGGAGGUGCUCAGCCAGCUGUGCUGUCCUGAGGUGUGGGGAGAGCUGCUUCUGGAGGGACAGGGCACUCAGACUUUGUCCUUGGAGCUGUGGUGAUGGGACUGCAGGCGAUCUGGAUCUCUGCAUCGUAAAGGAAACACGCUGUAUGCUUCCAUACAAUACCACACCUCUAGAAGCCACACUGAAUUUAAGGAGAAACCCUUCUCUUUCCUGGGUUGCUUGCACCAAGCUGCGCAAAUCCUGAUGGCCUUAAGCACGCCAACCUGGUCCCAGUGGAGCUACUCACAUCCUGAGUUAUGCAGAAAUUAAACUAUACUCCAAAAGGCUUGCUUCAAAACCCAGCAGUAAGGCUAAGGGCCUCAGUAUCACCUGUUAUCUGAGGGAGAAUAGCUGAAGGAAAAUGUUCCCGUCGUGUUCUCAAGACUGAAAAGCAAAGAUGUGCUGGAGCCCAAUAACAACAAUCGAUGCUUCCAGCCCUGGCUUUGGUGAAAUCCACAUGAGGAUGGGUUAUCUGAAGUUCUCCUGCUACCCCACGUCACUGAACGCCUCUGCAGGGAUGAGCCAAUUCAGCAGAAGUCCUAAGUGAAUUCUGGUGAGAAAAGGAAACAGAGGACAGGCUGCAAUCAAGCUGAAGCGUCGGGCAAACAGAAAUCAGCCUGCUUGUGUGAGAGCUGCACCAUCAAGGGCUGUGUCGUAUUCCUGCUGCAUUUCAAGCAGCUUUUCAUUUCCAUUUGGGCAGACUGACAGAAGACCCAGUAGGGGCCACAGCAGCACACUUUUGGAUCAUAUUAAUGUAUUAACAAAUACGGGACUGAGACUCCUUUAGCGCGGCAUUAGGAACCUGGCAUGAAACCACGUAGCUUGAGGGCUGCCCAAAACAAACCAGGGCUGCCAGGGGGAGGCACAAACUGUGCCGAAGUGCUGAUGUGGCACCACGACAGUCAAGGUCAUCCUUUGUGAGAG